GACGAACGCUGGCGGCGUGCUUAACACAUGCAAGUCGAACGCUGAAGCUCAGCUUUUGUUGGGUGGAUGAGUGGCGAACGGGUGAGUAACACGUGAGUAACCUGCCCCCUUCUUUGGGAUAACGCCCGGAAACGGGUGCUAAUACUGGAUAUUCACUGGUCUUCGCAUGGGGGUUGGUGGAAAGGGUUUUUCUGGUGGGGGAUGGGCUCGCGGCCUAUCAGCUUGUUGGUGGGGUGAUGGCCUACCAAGGCUUUGACGGGUAGCCGGCCUGAGAGGGUGACCGGUCACAUUGGGACUGAGAUACGGCCCAGACUCCUACGGGAGGCAGCAGUGGGGAAUAUUGCACAAUGGGCGCAAGCCUGAUGCAGCGACGCCGCGUGCGGGAUGACGGCCUUCGGGUUGUAAACCGCUUUCGCCUGUGACGAAGCGUGAGUGACGGUAAUGGGUAAAGAAGCACCGGCUAACUACGUG
RNAcentral lists this ribosomal RNA (471 nucleotides) under uncultured bacterium. RNAcentral describes it as "partial 16S ribosomal RNA". It matches the Rfam family "Bacterial small subunit ribosomal RNA", at positions 28 to 507 of the family's 1533-position model. The record is from RNAcentral.